AAGACAACCUCUUCUCUCCCGCUUCCCUCGCUGUGAAGAUGGCGCUCUCCAGGGUCUUCAAAGCUUCACCUUUCUCCAAAGGCAGAUGUGAAGAACUUGAUGUCUUAUGUGGUAACCAAGACAAAAGCGAUUAAUGGGAAAUACCAUCGUUUCUUGGGUCGUCAUUUCCCCCGCUUCUAUGUUCUGUACACAAUCUUCAUGAAAGAAAGCCUUGAGCCGGGCCAUGCUUCUCACAUCUUACCUGCCUCCUCCCUUGUUGAGACAUCGUUUGAAGACUCAUACAACUGUGAUUCACCAACUGGACAAGGCUUUGGCAAAGCUGGGGAUUGGCCAGCUGACUGCUCAGGAAGUAAAAUCGGCUUGUUAUCUCCGUGGCCUGAAUUCUACGCAUAUUGGUGAAGAUAGGUGUCGAACUUGGCUGGGAGAAUGGCUGCAGAUUUCCUGCAGCCUGAAAG
Molecule: small RNA, 455 nt
Filed under: Pan troglodytes (chimpanzee)
Lineage: Eukaryota; Metazoa; Chordata; Mammalia; Primates; Hominidae
Description: processed transcript
Source: RNAcentral